Molecule: unclassified non-coding RNA, 353 nt
Filed under: soil metagenome
Description: partial contains 5.8S ribosomal RNA, internal transcribed spacer 2, and large subunit ribosomal RNA
Rfam family: 5.8S ribosomal RNA (bases 1-120)
Source: RNAcentral
GAUGAAGAACGCAGCGAAAUGCGAUAAGUAAUGUGAAUUGCAGAAUUCAGUGAAUCAUUGAAUCUUUGAACGCACAUUGCGCCCGCCAGUAUUCUGGCGGGCAUGCCUGUUCGAGCGUCAUUACAACCCUCAGGCCCCCGGGCCUGGCGUUGGGGAUCGGCGGAAGCCCCCUGCGGGCACAACGCCGUCCCCCAAAUACAGUGGCGGUCCCGCCGCAGCUUCCAUUGCGUAGUAGCUAACACCUCGCAACUGGAGAGCGGCGCGGCCACGCCGUAAAACACCCAACUUCUGAAUGUUGACCUCGAAUCAGGUAGGAAUACCCGCUGAACUUAAGCAUAUCAAUAAGCGGAGGA